UGGGGAAUAUUGGACAAUGGGCGAAAGCCUGAUCCAGCCAUGCCGCGUGGGUGAAGAAGGUCUUCGGAUUGUAAAGCACUUUAAGUUGGGAGGAAGGGCAGUAAGCGAAUACCUUGCUGUUUUGACGUUACCGACAGAAUAAGCACCGGCUAACUCUGUGCCAGCAGCCGCGGUAAUACAGAGGGUGCAAGCGUUAAUCGGAAUUACUGGGCGUAAAGCGCGCGUAGGUGGUUCGUUAAGUUGAAUGUGAAAGCCCCGGGCUCAACCUGGGAACUGCAUCCAAAACUGGCGAGCUGGAGUAGGGCAGAGGGUGGUGGAAUUUCCUGUGUAGCGGUGAAAUGCGUAGAUAUAGGAAGGAACACCAGUGGCGAAGGCGACCACCUGGGCUCAUACUGACACUGAGGUGCGAAAGCGUGGGGAGCAAACAGG
This 429-nucleotide ribosomal RNA is filed under the name Pseudomonadota bacterium. RNAcentral's name for it is "Proteobacteria bacterium partial 16S ribosomal RNA". It matches the Rfam family "Bacterial small subunit ribosomal RNA", at positions 355 to 776 of the family's 1533-position model. Lineage: Bacteria; Pseudomonadati; Pseudomonadota. The record is from RNAcentral.